UACGGAGGAUGCAAGCGUUAUCCGGAAUUAUUGGGCGUAAAGCGUCCGCAGGUGGCACUUCAAGUCUGUCGUCAAAGACCGGGGCUUAACCCUGGAAAGGCGAAGGAAACUGAAAGGCUAGAGAGAGGUAGGGGUAGAGGGAAUUCCCAGUGUAGCGGUGAAAUGCGUAGAGAUUGGGAAGAACAUCGGUGGCGAAAGCGCUCUACUGGACCUCAUCUGACACUCAGGGACGAAAGCUAGGGGAGCGAAUGGG
Molecule: ribosomal RNA, 253 nt
Filed under: uncultured bacterium
Lineage: Bacteria
Description: partial 16S ribosomal RNA
Rfam family: Bacterial small subunit ribosomal RNA
Source: RNAcentral